UUCUAAGUAUCAUAUAUGGAUCCCCAUGUUAUUUAAUUGUCAUUUUUAUCAAGAAUUCAUCAAGUGUUUUAAGCUUGUUUACCUUGGAAGCCCUAAUUCAUCUAGGUAUCUUAUGUGACUUUCUCAGCAAGUUUCUUCAAUAAAUGGUAAAAUAUAUCAAGGUAUACUUCAUUAUAAUUCAUCUCAAGCAUAUAUGAUUAUCAAUGAUCCCCAAAUACCAAAAGAACUUCAAGUUUGCAAGUUGGUUCAAAGAGGUUGACCAGAGAAAGUAAAGUAGUUAAAUCUGGGGUUCCCUAUACCAUAU
This 304-nucleotide long non-coding RNA is filed under the name Lathyrus oleraceus (garden pea). Its description in RNAcentral is "Pisum sativum (pea) long non-coding RNA (PSAT_LNC006374)". Lineage: Eukaryota; Viridiplantae; Streptophyta; Magnoliopsida; Fabales; Fabaceae. The record is from RNAcentral.